GCCCUGCUAGCUCAAUCGGUAGAGCGUGAGACUUUUAUCUUCAUAGCAGUAGCUUAAUCUCAAGGUUGCGGGUUCGACCCCCGCGUGGGGCU
This is a transfer RNA of Sphaerobolus stellatus SS14, 92 nucleotides long. It matches the Rfam family "tRNA". Rfam says of the family: Transfer RNA (tRNA) molecules are approximately 80 nucleotides in length. NCBI's taxonomy places the organism in Eukaryota, Fungi, Basidiomycota, Agaricomycetes, Geastrales, Sphaerobolaceae. The record is from Rfam.